GGGACGCGGGCGUGGGCCUGGGCCGCGGGGGCCUUUGGCCGGCCCAGGUCGGGCCGAGGGCAAAACAGCGCAGGCGGUUAGGGGGCUCGGGCGCGGGCGGUUCCCGACGCCGCCGCCGCUGCCACUCUCCUCGGUUCCGCCGCCGUCCGCCUCGCUCCUCUACCGCAGCCCGGUGGAGCGGAGGCCGGCGAGGAAGGAGCCGGCGGGGCGUGGGCCGGCGAGGCGCUGGCCAUGGGCGCGGCGGCCGCGGUUGCAGGGGCGGGCGCAGCGGGAGCCAGAGGCGCGGGUGGCGCGUCCGGCGUCGGGACGCCCACCAGCGGCGCGGGGCCAGCGGGGCCGAAGGCGGCGGCGCGAGGGCCGGUGUGGUAGACGGCAGGGGCACGGAGGCCGGCGCGGCAGAGGCCAGGGGCGCAGCGCCACGGGCGGCGCACGCGGGCGUGGUGCGGGCGGCGAGGCGCCCCCCGACGGGGCGAGGCCCACCGGCGGCUGCUUCUAGAACGGUUGAAAAGGCACCAAUACAUGGAUUGGUGUUUCAAACUUUUGCCUUCGCGUCCCAAGUUGACACGAACGGUUACAGUAACUUCCUGCUAAUAUCUAACUAAUUGAUCAUAUAUUAUUCUUAACAAAAUUGAUACUGGAAAACAAAGUUCGGUAGACUGAACUUGGAGUUGGAUUAAGCUCGCUUGUUUUACAAUAUACGAGCUGUGCCACUUGUACCCCAACCAAAGUUCCAAUAAAAUGGUAAGUUCCUCUCA
This is a long non-coding RNA of Brachypodium distachyon (stiff brome), 755 nucleotides long. RefSeq lists it as uncharacterized. Lineage: Eukaryota; Viridiplantae; Streptophyta; Magnoliopsida; Poales; Poaceae. The transcript has 2 exons. The record is from RefSeq and is a predicted model, not a curated record.